Molecule: ribosomal RNA, 254 nt
Filed under: uncultured bacterium
Lineage: Bacteria
Description: partial 16S ribosomal RNA
Rfam family: Bacterial small subunit ribosomal RNA
Source: RNAcentral
UACGUAGGGCGCAAGCGUUGUCCGGAAUUAUUGGGCGUAAAGAGCUCGUAGGCGGUGUGUCGCGUCGGCCGUGAAAACUUGCAGCUUAACUGUGGGCGUGCGGUCGAUACGGGCAUCACUGGAGUUCGGCAGGGGAGACUGGAAUUCCUGGUGUAGCGGUGAAAUGCGCAGAUAUCAGGAGGAACACCGGUGGCGAAGGCAGGUCUCUGGGCCGAUACUGACGCUGAGGAGCGAAAGCGUGGGGAGCGAACGGG